CAGAUAGAUAGAUGGUAGCAGCUCUCCAACCAUUUUUAAUUUUUAGAAUGAGCUUGCUCUUACUCUAUCCUCUCUACGUUUAUUCUUUUUAAAAAUUUGUGAGAUGAUAUAAAUUGUUGGAGUAAAACAAACAUGAUAGUUAUGAAUAACCAUCCAUCAUGUGUUGAAAAAUAGAGGCAGAGAACAUCUUAUCCAAACAUUAAUAAUACAUAUAUAUUCAGUGACUAGAAAGGUAGAGAAUUUAUAGUUGUAUUGUUUAGUGUUGAUGCAUAAAAGUAUUGUGUGUGUAAACUGACGACUUGUAUGAUAAAUCAAUUUUCAAAAAUUAACGAGUAUUAGUGUUGAGAGGAUAAAUUGAUUAAGUCGUCUAGCCAUUAUUUCAUUUUU
Molecule: long non-coding RNA, 387 nt
Filed under: Oryza brachyantha (malo sina)
Lineage: Eukaryota; Viridiplantae; Streptophyta; Magnoliopsida; Poales; Poaceae
Description: long non-coding RNA (OBRA_LNC000388)
Source: RNAcentral